CCCUUAGAUGUUCUGGGCCGCACGCGCGCUACACUGACUACUUCAACGAGUUGUUUCCUUGAUCGAAAGGUCUGGGUAAUCUCCAAAUUUCGUCGUGAUGGGGAUAGAUUAUUGCAAUUAUUAAUCUUCAACGAGGAAUGCCUAGUAAGCGCAAGUCAUCAGCUUGCGUUGAUUACGUCCCUGCCCUUUGUACACACCGCCCGUCGCUCCUACCGAUUGAAUGGUCCGGUGAAGCGUUCGGACCGUGGCCUUUGGACGGUUCGCCGUCUGUUGGCUGCGGGAAGUUCGUUAAACCUUAUCAUUUAGAGGAAGGAGAAGUCGUAACA
RNAcentral lists this ribosomal RNA (326 nucleotides) under uncultured eukaryote. RNAcentral's name for it is "partial 18S ribosomal RNA". It matches the Rfam family "Eukaryotic small subunit ribosomal RNA", at positions 1470 to 1796 of the family's 1831-position model. The record is from RNAcentral.